Molecule: ribosomal RNA, 465 nt
Filed under: Vreelandella stevensii
Lineage: Bacteria; Pseudomonadati; Pseudomonadota; Gammaproteobacteria; Oceanospirillales; Halomonadaceae
Description: partial 16S ribosomal RNA
Rfam family: Bacterial small subunit ribosomal RNA
Source: RNAcentral
CCUACGGGGGGCAGCAGUGGGGAAUAUUGGACAAUGGGGGCAACCCUGAUCCAGCCAUGCCGCGUGUGUGAAGAAGGCCCUCGGGUUGUAAAGCACUUUCAGUGAGGAAGAACGCCUGGUGGUUAAUACCCAUCAGGAAGGACAUCACUCACAGAAGAAGCACCGGCUAACUCCGUGCCAGCAGCCGCGGUAAUACGGAGGGUGCGAGCGUUAAUCGGAAUUACUGGGCGUAAAGCGCGCGUAGGUGGCUUGAUAAGCCGGUUGUGAAAGCCCCGGGCUCAACCUGGGAACGGCAUCCGGAACUGUCAAGCUAGAGUGCAGGAGAGGAAGGUAGAAUUCCCGGUGUAGCGGUGAAAUGCGUAGAGAUCGGGAGGAAUACCAGUGGCGAAGGCGGCCUUCUGGACUGACACUGACACUGAGGUGCGAAAGCGUGGGUAGCAAACAGGAUUAGAUACCCCAGUAGUC